This 225-nucleotide long non-coding RNA is filed under the name Dromaius novaehollandiae (emu). RNAcentral describes it as "lncRNA (ENSDNVG00000000793.1)". The record is from RNAcentral. Lineage: Eukaryota; Metazoa; Chordata; Aves; Casuariiformes; Dromaiidae.
GUACUUUUGCUGCUCUUAAGGGCUACUUUGCCAAUUCAGAGGAAACGCCAAGCAUCACAAAGCAUUUUAGUAAAGAUUAAGGGAAAGCAGACCUGAAUUAAAACAUUUAACAGAACAAAGGACUUGAGACAGAAGAAUUCCCCAGAUGUCUGGCUUAGUUCAAUGAUUUAUUGCUCUGAUCCCUAUUUGAAUGGACAGGAAAAAGAACAGGCUCACCUACAUGAA